AUACAUUCUCAUUUUAUUUAUUAAAUCUUGUACCUUUAGACCUCAUGUUACUUCUAGGUAUGACAGAUGGAAGCAUGACAGCUGUCAUUCAGAAUGACUGAUGAAUGGAAAAACCAUUGACUGAAGAAUGAUGUAAAACUGAACAGGAUCUCCCUUUUCAUCACCCUUAAUGCUGCUUACUGAGAAUGUACCUUUGUAAGUACCACUAGGGACCAACCCUCCCAUAAAUGGCUAACUUUUCUUACAUUGGACAACAAGGAUGGAAGAUGUGGAAACUGCAUAAGGUAACAGGAAAUCUAUCCAGGAAGAACAGCCAACACCAACAAACCUGAUGAAGUACAGAUUAUGACCAUUUUUCAAGUAUUACGCAAAUUCAAAAUAUACAUGGUUCCAGGUACAGGGAGCAGCCCAAAAACUAUUUUUGUUAAAGAAAACCAAAUUUGUUUGAGAACAAGCAUGUUGGACUGA
RNAcentral lists this long non-coding RNA (468 nucleotides) under Monodelphis domestica (gray short-tailed opossum). RNAcentral's name for it is "lncRNA (ENSMODG00000033576.2)". The record is from RNAcentral. Lineage: Eukaryota; Metazoa; Chordata; Mammalia; Didelphimorphia; Didelphidae.